RNAcentral lists this ribosomal RNA (418 nucleotides) under uncultured bacterium. Its description in RNAcentral is "bacterial SSU rRNA". It matches the Rfam family "Bacterial small subunit ribosomal RNA", at positions 355 to 786 of the family's 1533-position model. The record is from RNAcentral.
UGGGGAAUAUUGGGCAAUGGGCGCAAGCCUGACCCAGCAACGCCGCGUGAAGGAAGAAGGCUUUCGGGUUGUAAACUUCUUUUUAUCAGGGACGAAGCAAGUGACGGUACCUGAUGAAUAAGCCACGGCUAACUACGUGCCAGCAGCCGCGGUAAUAAGUAGGUGGCGAGCGUUAUCCGGAUUUACUGGGUGUAAAGGGCGUGUAGGCGGGCUUGCAAGUCAGAUGUGAAAUUCCAGGGCUCAACCCUGGAACUGCAUUUGAAACUGUAGGUCUUGAGUGCUGGAGAGGCAAUCGGAAUUCCGUGUGUAGCGGUGAAAUGCGUAGAUAUACGGAGGAACACCAGUGGCGAAGGCGGAUUGCUGGACAGUAACUGACGCUGAGGCGCGAAAGCGUGGGGAGCAAACAGGAUUAGAUACC